This 255-nucleotide ribosomal RNA is filed under the name uncultured bacterium. RNAcentral's name for it is "partial 16S ribosomal RNA". It matches the Rfam family "Bacterial small subunit ribosomal RNA", at positions 524 to 776 of the family's 1533-position model. The record is from RNAcentral.
UACGUAGGGUGCAAGCGUUAAUCGGAAUUACUGGGCGUAAAGCGUGCGCAGGCGGUUGUGCAAGACAGAUGUGAAAUCCCCGGGCUUAACCUGGGAACUGCAUUUGUGACUGCACGGCUAGAGUGUGUCAGAGGGGGGGUAGAAUUCCACGUGUAGCAGUGAAAUGCGUAGAUAUGAUGGAGGAAUACCGAUGGCGAAGGCAGCCCCCUGGGAUAACACUGACGCUCAUGCACGAAAGCGUGGGGAGCAAACAGG